Molecule: ribosomal RNA, 501 nt
Filed under: uncultured bacterium
Lineage: Bacteria
Description: partial 16S ribosomal RNA
Rfam family: Bacterial small subunit ribosomal RNA
Source: RNAcentral
AUUGAACGCUGGCGGCAUGCCUUACACAUGCAAGUCGAACGGCAGCACGGGUGCUUGCACCUGGUGGCGAGUGGCGAACGGGUGAGUAAUACAUCGGAACGUACCUUAUCGUGGGGGAUAACGCAGCGAAAGCUGUGCUAAUACCGCAUACGCCCUGAGGGGGAAAGCGGGGGAUCGCAAGACCUCGCGCGAUUAGAGCGGCCGAUGCCUGAUUAGCUAGUUGGUGGGGUAAAAGCCCACCAAGGCGACGAUCAGUAGCUGGUCUGAGAGGACGAUCAGCCACGCUGGGACUGUGACACGGCCCAGACGCCUACGGGAGGCAGCAGUGGGGAAUUUUGGACAAUGGGGGCAACCCUGAUCCAGCAAUGCCGCGUGAGUGAAGAAGGCCUUCGGGUUGUAAAGCUCUUUUGUCAGGGAAGAAACACCGGCUCUAACACAGUCCGGGAAUGACGGUACCUGAAGAAUAAGCACCGGCUAACUACGUGCCAGCCGCCGCGGUAA